RNAcentral lists this unclassified non-coding RNA (1022 nucleotides) under Zea mays. Its description in RNAcentral is "misc RNA Zm00001eb357170". The record is from RNAcentral. Lineage: Eukaryota; Viridiplantae; Streptophyta; Magnoliopsida; Poales; Poaceae.
AAUCCGCCCAUCCAUCAAAUCAAAACGACCAAAUCCAGAUCUUGAUGCGGACCUUACACUUUGCGUCCGUCGGCGUCAACUUCCCGCCGCCACCGCCGCCGGAGGAGGAGGAGGAGGAGGACGUCCGUACGACCGACCGCGGCGACCGCCCACGCCCACGGCCGCGGGCCGGGGCCGGCUCCGCGUCCGGCGCGGGCGCGGGCGCGGGCGCGGCCGCAGCCGGAGCCGGAGCCGGCUUGGCGAGCCCAACGGAGACCCCCGCGCAGCUGACGCGGACGUUGAUGCUCUUGGACUUGGACCGCCCGAUCUGGAACCCGACCUUGGCGUCCAUCUGCGCCGACAUCACGUGGGACUUCCUGGAUCUGAGCGCCGCCGCCUGGACGGGGUCGAUGGUGGACGCGGCGGUGGACGCGGCGGCGCGGAUGACCGUCGUGUUGCCCGCCGGGUGGAGGAACCCCGGGACCACGGCGUCGCCCACGUCCGCGCCGCCCGAGGCGAAGGACACCGCCAUGUCGCCGUAGUCGAAGGCGAUCUUGUCGUUCGGGUUCCGCGCCGUCACCGUGAACUCCACGCGGGAGGUGAGCGCGUCCGAGUCCGACACGUUCAGCGCCGCCAGCCGCACCGACGUCACCGCGAAGCUGGGCGGCCGCGGCCGGUACACCACGUAGAACACCCCCGCCGCGAUGGCGCCCAGGAACGCCAGCCCCACCAGCACCAGCGUCAGCCACAGGCAGCACGCGCAGCACCACCCGCGGGCGCUCCGCCCGGCACGCCGCGCCGGAGGACGCGACUGCGCGGGCCUCCGCCUGUACAUCGGCGGAGGGGGCACGCGCCCGCCGGGCACCAUGGACGGCGGCGCGGGCCGCGGAGGCCCCACGCCGCCGCCGUUCGCGGUGCCGUUGGUGGCCCGCACGGGAACCGGCUUCACGGCCGGCGCGUACGCCCGGUCGCCCAUUGCGCCUCUCGCUCUCGGCUUCUUGGGGAAGGGAUGGAGAAUGGAGGGGAAGGGGGUGACGGAUGAG